RNAcentral lists this ribosomal RNA (158 nucleotides) under Phyllosticta bifrenariae. Its description in RNAcentral is "5.8S ribosomal RNA". It matches the Rfam family "5.8S ribosomal RNA". Rfam says of the family: 5.8S ribosomal RNA (5.8S rRNA) is a component of the large subunit of the eukaryotic ribosome. It is transcribed by RNA polymerase I as part of the 45S precursor that also contains 18S and 28S rRNA. Lineage: Eukaryota; Fungi; Ascomycota; Dothideomycetes; Botryosphaeriales; Phyllostictaceae. The record is from RNAcentral.
CUUUCAACAACGGAUCUCUUGGUUCUGGCAUCGAUGAAGAACGCAGCGAAAUGCGAUAAGUAAUGUGAAUUGCAGAAUUCAGUGAAUCAUCGAAUCUUUGAACGCACAUUGCGCCCCCUGGUAUUCCGGGGGGCAUGCCUGUUCGAGCGUCAUUUCAA